GCGCAUGCGUCAGGACUCCGCAUCCCUGAGCUCCUGGGAAACUCUGUAAACAAAUUGGCUUUGCUACACUCGUUCCAAAGUGUUCAUUGUCAGCAACUCGCUUACUGCAAUACUAUGAAAUCCUUCUGAAUGCACUAGCUUAACACACAUAUAACUUUGGUGCUCUUGAAGAUGUAGUGAGAAUCUCCAUAGAUUCAGGGAAGAAGCACAAUUAUCAAGGCUCCAGAACUUCCUUGGAGAGGUCGGCUGAGGAGGGAUCCGGGGGGACUCACACCCAGGUUUAAAGCUUCUAACGGAGGGGAAGCUGCCAUCCACGUCCACCCACAUCUGCCGGGCUCCGCCCGACUCCACGG
This is a long non-coding RNA of Globicephala melas (long-finned pilot whale), 353 nucleotides long. RefSeq lists it as uncharacterized. Lineage: Eukaryota; Metazoa; Chordata; Mammalia; Artiodactyla; Delphinidae. The record is from RefSeq and is a predicted model, not a curated record.